RNAcentral lists this ribosomal RNA (301 nucleotides) under uncultured bacterium. RNAcentral describes it as "partial 16S ribosomal RNA". It matches the Rfam family "Bacterial small subunit ribosomal RNA", at positions 509 to 809 of the family's 1533-position model. The record is from RNAcentral.
CAGUCGCCACGGGAAUACGUAGGUGGCAAGCGUUGUCCGGAAUUAUUAGGCGUAAAGGGCUCGCAGGCGGUUUCUUAAGUCUGAUGUGAAAGCCCCCGGCUCAACCGGGGAGGGUCAUUGGAAACUGGGAAACUUGAGUGCAGAAGAGGAGAGUGGAAUUCCACGUGUAGCGGUGGAAUGCGUAGAGAUGUGGAGGAACACCAGUGGCGAAGGCGACUCUCUGGUCUGUAACUGACGCUGAGGAGCGAAAGCGGGGGGAGCGAACAGGAUUAGAUACCCCCGUAGUCCCUGUCUCUUAUAA